RNAcentral lists this ribosomal RNA (822 nucleotides) under uncultured Actinomycetes bacterium. Its description in RNAcentral is "bacterial SSU rRNA". It matches the Rfam family "Bacterial small subunit ribosomal RNA", at positions 68 to 904 of the family's 1533-position model. The record is from RNAcentral. Lineage: Bacteria; Bacillati; Actinomycetota; Actinomycetes.
GAUGAAGUUCCUUCGGGAAUGGAUUAGUGGCGAACGGGUGAGGAACACGUGAGAAACCUGCCUUUCAUUCUGGGAUAACACCGGGAAACCGGCGCUAAUACCGGAUACUCCAUCUUGGCGGCAUCGCCGAGCUGGGAAAAAAUUUUGAUGAAAGAUGGUCUCGCGGCCUAUCAGCUAGUUGGUGAGGCAAAGGCUCACCAAGGCGACGACGGGUAGCCGGCCUGAGAGGGCGACCGGCCACACUGGGACUGAGGCACGGCCCAGACUCCUACGGGAGGCAGCAGUAGGGAAUAUUGGGCAAUGGGCGAAAGCCUGACCCAGCGACGCCGCGUGAGGGAUGAAGGUCUUCGGAUUGUAAACCUCUUUCAGUAGGGAAGAAGCGAAAGUGACGGUACCUAAAGAAGAAGCACCGGCUAACUAUGUGCCAGCAGCCGCGGUAAUACAUAGGGUGCAAGCGUUGUCCGGAAUUAUUGGGCGUAAAGAGCUCGUAGGUCGUUUGUCGCGUCGAUUGUGAAAAUCUGAGGCUCAACCUCAGACCUGCAGUCGAUACGGGCAAACUAGAGUGUGGUAGGGGAGACUGGAAUUCCUGGUGUAGCGGUGGAAUGCGCAGAUAUCAGGAGGAACACCAAUGGCGAAGGCAGGUCUCUGGGCCAUAACUGACACUGAGGAGCGAAAGUGCGGGGAGCGAACAGGAUUAGAUACCCUGGUAGUCCGCACCGUAAACGGUGGGCACUAGUUGUGGGAACCUUCCACGGUUUCCGCGACGCAGCAAACGCAUUAAGUGCCCCGCCUGGGGAGUACGAUCGNCAGAUUNAAACUCAA